UGAUCCGGCUUCGGCUGGGUCAGGGGAGUGGCAAACGGGUGAGUAACACGUGGGUUACCUACCCUCCGGUGGGGAAUAACCCUGGGAAACCGGGGCUAAUACCGCAUAAGCCCGCAAGGGGAAAGCCGAAAGGCGCCGGAGGAUGGGCCCGCGGCGGAUUAGCUAGUUGGUGGGGUAAUGGCCCACCAAGGCGAUGAUCCGUAGCCGGCCUGAGAGGGUGACCGGCCACACUGGCACUGAGGCACGGGCCAGACUCCUACGGGAGGCAGCAGUGGGGAAUCUUGGACAAUGGGCGAAAGCCUGAUCCAGCGACGCCGCGUGAGGGAUGAAGCCCUUCGGGGUGUAAACCUCUUUCAGCGGGGAAGAAUCUGACGGUACCCGCAGAAGAAGCUGCGGCUAACUACGUGCCAGCAGCCGCGGUAAUACGUAGGCAGCGAGCGUUGCUCGGAAUUACUGGGCGUAAAGCGUGCGUAGGCGGUCCUGCAAGUCU
Molecule: ribosomal RNA, 490 nt
Filed under: uncultured bacterium
Lineage: Bacteria
Description: bacterial SSU rRNA
Rfam family: Bacterial small subunit ribosomal RNA
Source: RNAcentral